Molecule: ribosomal RNA, 1128 nt
Filed under: Bacillus sonorensis
Lineage: Bacteria; Bacillati; Bacillota; Bacilli; Caryophanales; Bacillaceae
Description: bacterial SSU rRNA
Rfam family: Bacterial small subunit ribosomal RNA
Source: RNAcentral
CAUCGGGUCUAUAAUGCAGUCGAGCGGACAGAUGGGAGCUUGCUCCCUGAUGUUAGCGGCGGACGGGUGAGUAACACGUGGGUAACCUGCCUGUAAGACUGGGAUAACUCCGGGAAACCGGGGCUAAUACCGGAUGCUUGAUUGAACCGCAUGGUUCAAUUAUAAAAGGUGGCUUUUAGCUACCACUUACAGAUGGACCCGCGGCGCAUUAGCUAGUUGGUGAGGUAACGGCUCACCAAGGCAACGAUGCGUAGCCGACCUGAGAGGGUGAUCGGCCACACUGGGACUGAGACACGGCCCAGACUCCUACGGGAGGCAGCAGUAGGGAAUCUUCCGCAAUGGACGAAAGUCUGACGGAGCAACGCCGCGUGAGUGAUGAAGGUUUUCGGAUCGUAAAACUCUGUUGUUAGGGAAGAACAAGUACCGUUCGAAUAGGGCGGUACCUUGACGGUACCUAACCAGAAAGCCACGGCUAACUACGUGCCAGCAGCCGCGGUAAUACGUAGGUGGCAAGCGUUGUCCGGAAUUAUUGGGCGUAAAGCGCGCGCAGGCGGUUUCUUAAGUCUGAUGUGAAAGCCCCCGGCUCAACCGGGGAGGGUCAUUGGAAACUGGGGAACUUGAGUGCAGAAGAGGAGAGUGGAAUUCCACGUGUAGCGGUGAAAUGCGUAGAGAUGUGGAGGAACACCAGUGGCGAAAGGCGACUCUCUGGUCUGUAACUGACGCUGAGGCGCGAAAGCGUGGGGAGCGAACAGGAUUAGAUACCCUGGUAGUCCACGCCGUAAACGAUGAGUGCUAAGUGUUAGAGGGUUUCCGCCCUUUAGUGCUGCAGCAAACGCAUUAAGCACUCCCGCCUGGGGAGUACGGUCGCAAGACUGAAACCUCAAAGGGAAUUGACCGGGGGCCCGCCACAGCGGGUGGGAGCAUGUGUGUUUUAAUUCGGAAGCCACCGCGAAGAACCCUUAACCAGGUCUUGGACAUCCCUCUGGACAACCCGUAGAAAGAAUAGGCUUCCCCCCCUUCGGGGCCAGAGUGACAGUGAUGCAUUGAUUGUCCGUCAGCUCGGUCUGAAAUGUUGGUUUAGUCCCGCACCAGCGCCACCCGUGGAAUCCUUAGGUUGCCCCAGCCCAU